AGAGUUUGAUCAUGGCUCAGAAUCAACGCUGGCGGCGUGCCUAACACAUGCAAGUCGAGCGAGAAAAGGGGGGCAACUCCCUGAGUACAGCGGCGACGGGUGAGUAACACGUGGGUAAUCUGCCCUGGAGUGGGGAAUAACACCGGGAAACCGGUGCUAAUACCGCAUACGAUCACGGAGCUGCGGAUUUUGUGAUGAAAGGAGCAAUUCGCUCUAGGAGGAGCCCGCGGCUGAUUAGCUAGUUGGUGAGGUAAUGGCUCACCAAGGCAACGAUCAGUAUCCGGUCUGAGAGGACGGUCGGACACACUGGAACUGAGACACGGUCCAGACUCCUACGGGAGGCAGCAGUGGGGAAUUUUUGGCAAUGGGGGCAACCCUGACCAAGCAACGCCGCGUGGGUGAUGAAGUCUCUUGGGACGUAAAACCCUUUCGACGGGGACGAAACCGCAAGGUUGACGGUACCCGUAGAAGAAGCCCCGGCUAACUCCGUGCCAGCAGCCGCGGUAAUACGGGGGGGGGCAAGCGUUGUUCGGAAUUACUGGGCGUAAAGGGCGCGUAGGCGGUGCUCUAAGUCGGAUGUGAAAACUCUGGGCUCAACCCAGAGCCUGCAUCCGAAACUGGAGUGCUAGAGUUCUGGAGGGGGUAGCGGAAUUCCUGGUGUAGCGGUGAAAUGCGUAGAUAUCAGGAGGAACACCGGUGGCGAAGGCGGCUACCUGGACAGAAACUGCGCUGAGGCGCGAAAGCUAGGGGAGCAAACAGGAUUAGAUACCCUAGUAGUCC
Molecule: ribosomal RNA, 780 nt
Filed under: uncultured bacterium
Lineage: Bacteria
Description: bacterial SSU rRNA
Rfam family: Bacterial small subunit ribosomal RNA
Source: RNAcentral